RNAcentral lists this ribosomal RNA (597 nucleotides) under alpha proteobacterium MPCa6SU_Cu02. RNAcentral describes it as "bacterial SSU rRNA". It matches the Rfam family "Bacterial small subunit ribosomal RNA", at positions 56 to 699 of the family's 1533-position model. The record is from RNAcentral. Lineage: Bacteria; Pseudomonadati; Pseudomonadota; Alphaproteobacteria.
UGCAAGUCGAACGAACUCUUCGGAGUUAGUGGCAGACGGGUGAGUAACGCGUGGGAACCUACCUUUAGGUACGGAACAACAGUUGGAAACGACUGCUAAUACCGUAUGUGCCCUAUGGGGGAAAGAUUUAUCGCCUAAGGAUGGGCCCGCGUUGGAUUAGCUAGUUGGUGGGGUAAAGGCCUACCAAGGCGACGAUCCAUAGCUGGUCUGAGAGGAUGAUCAGCCACACUGGGACUGAGACACGGCCCAGACUCCUACGGGAGGCAGCAGUGGGGAAUAUUGGACAAUGGGCGCAAGCCUGAUCCAGCCAUGCCGCGUGAGUGAUGAAGGCCCUAGGGUUGUAAAGCUCUUUCAGCGAGGAGGAUAAUGACGUUACUCGCAGAAGAAGCCCCGGCUAACUUCGUGCCAGCAGCCGCGGUAAUACGAAGGGGGCUAGCGUUGUUCGGAAUCACUGGGCGUAAAGCGCACGUAGGCGGACUUUUAAGUCAGGGGUGAAAUCCCGGGGCUCAACCCCGGAACUGCCUUUGAUACUGGAAGUCUUGAGUCCGAGAGAGGUGAGUGGAACUCCGAGUGUAGAGGUGAAAUUCGUAGAUAUUC